This 778-nucleotide ribosomal RNA is filed under the name uncultured Neocallimastigales. RNAcentral's name for it is "partial large subunit ribosomal RNA". It matches the Rfam family "Eukaryotic large subunit ribosomal RNA", at positions 24 to 644 of the family's 3401-position model. Lineage: Eukaryota; Fungi; Neocallimastigomycota; Neocallimastigomycetes; Neocallimastigales. The record is from RNAcentral.
UCGCAUCUGUGCAUGCAGCAUAUCAAUAAGCGGAGGAAAAGAAACUAACAAGGAUUCCCCUAGUAACGGCGAGUGAAGCGGGAAGAGCUCAAAUUUGAAAUCUUAAAGGGUUUCCCUUUACGAAUUGUAGUUUAAAGAAGUGUUUUCUGUUGAGGUUUUGGUAAAAGUUCUUUGGAAUAGGACAUCAUAGAGGGUGAGAAUCCCGUAUUUGACCUUUACUUUCAACUUUGUGAUAGCACUUUCAAAGAGUCGGAUUGUUUGGGAAUGCAGUCCAAAAUGGGUGGUAAAUUUCAUCUAAAGCUAAAUAUUGGCGAGAGACCGAUAGCGAACAAGUACCGUGAGGGAAAGAUGAAAAGAACUUUGAAAAGAGAGUUAAACAGUACGUGAAAUUGUCAAAAGGGAAGCGUUUGACACCAGUGUUGUUUUUCUGAAAAUCAAUUAAAGAACUGUUUAUGCUAAGCUGUUUAGACUUUAUCAGCUAAUCUGUUUAGUUUUGAGCUUUUCUUUAAUGCACUUUUCAGUUAACAAGUCAACAUCAAUUUCUUUUGCUGUAAAAAAGCUUGAGGAAGGUGGCUUGAGAUUCGUCUUAAGUGUUUAUAGCCUCUUGCCUAUGCAGUCGGAGAGAUUGAGGUCUGCAGCGUAGAUCCUUCGGGGCUAAAUGCAUUUGUGCUAAGUUAUAGCAUUUUAUAGACAACUUGUUGACUAUGAUUUGUCUUGUAGCUUACUCGCUUAUGUUAUUUUACCUACCGCUUAGGAUGUUGAAUCUGUGCGAGACUAC